UUUCUCUUCUUUAUAAUUUUCGUAUCGUGAGUGUUGGACGGAAACUACAGUUCACAUUGUGGGGACGGCGGCGGCAGCAGUGACUCUUGGCAAUGUCGGCCGAGUUGAAAGCGGUGGGUGACCGAGGCUUUUCUUUCUCCAGCAGUCUUUGUGCCUUGUUUUUUUAGGUGAUCAGCAGUGUGUUUUGUUCUUUUUAAUCCAUUUAAUGGUUAUUGCAUACAAAGUUUCACAAAGUCUUUGUUUUGUUCCACUAUCACACUUGAAGCACAAAUAAGUAUGGAACAACCUGCAACUUUGGAAUCAGAUCAGGUCAGAAUUCUGGAAAAAAGUACAAAAACAUAGGAAUCAGUAAAUAGGAACAUACACUAACCUCUGCUCUUGAAUCGGACUAGCGCAUGUUGUUUCCGUAGACGGAAUCAGGUCUUGGCGGCAUAUUCAACGGCGGAUGUUGUUGAGGAGGAAUCGGCGAUCAGCAGCCUAACCAAAAACUGAGGACGAAUGGACGAUCGGCGGGUCAACAGCGGGCGACCGUGAGAGAAAAUGGACAGUGGGGUUUGGUUGUUCCUGUCGAAGGAUCGGUAGCCGGUGGCGGGCUUGGGUGGGGAAGAAGGAAUUGGUUCCUGUUUGUGCCAAUAAGGCUGAAGAAGAAGCAAACAAAAAGGGAAGGGUUUUUAUUUUUUACUCUAGAGAGAGAAAAGAGUAAAGAUAUAAUUUGUUGUAAUCAAUCGUGGGUGAUUGAAUUUCCUUUUUAUUUUCUAUUUUUCUAAUUUAAUUUGAUUAGGUACAAUCUAAUCACACUAACAACUUUUACAUCAG
RNAcentral lists this long non-coding RNA (816 nucleotides) under Linum usitatissimum (flax). RNAcentral's name for it is "long non-coding RNA (LUSI_LNC005618)". Lineage: Eukaryota; Viridiplantae; Streptophyta; Magnoliopsida; Malpighiales; Linaceae. The record is from RNAcentral.